ACGCUCCACAUCAGCAUUAAUUUUUUGUGGGAAUAUCCAACGGUGGCUUUAAAGCUAAGAAUAUCUAGUACAGUCCUCACUUCCCCUAACCCUCCAAAAAUCUUAUAAUGCUUCAAAAGCUAAGAAUAAAUUAUUCACUUCCACCAUGGGCUUCUCAGUGGUAUCUACUUGAUGAGGAUCUUCACGAUAACUUUUCCUGGUCCAGUGCAGCAUCGAUGACAACGUUCUUCAC
Frieseomelitta varia is the source of this 232-nucleotide long non-coding RNA. RefSeq lists it as uncharacterized. The transcript is spliced from 3 exons. Lineage: Eukaryota; Metazoa; Arthropoda; Insecta; Hymenoptera; Apidae. The record is from RefSeq and is a predicted model, not a curated record.